AGCAGCCGCGGUAAUUCCAGCUCCAAUAGCGUAUAUUAAAGUUGUUGCAGUUAAAAAGCUCGUAGUUGAAUUUCGGGAUCAAUGGGUUGGUCAUGCCCUCGGUAUGUACUGAUUUCAUUGGUUCUCACCUUCUAAGGAACCAUGAUGUCAUUUAUUUGAUGUUGUGGGAAAUUAGGACUGUUACCUUGAAAAAAUUAGAGUGUUUAAAGCAGGCUAACGCUUGAAUACAUUAGCAUGGAAUAAUGAAAUAGGACAUCCGAUUCUAUUUUGUUGGUUUCUAGGAUCGAUGUAAUGAUUAAUAGGGAUAGUUGGGGGCAUUAGUAUUCAAUUGUCAGAGGUGAAAUUCUUGGAUUUAUUGAAGACUAACUACUGCGAAAGCAUUUGCCAAGGAUGUUUUCAUUAAUCAAGAACGAAAGUUAGGGGAUCGAAGACGAUCAGAUACCGUCGUAGUCUUAACCAUAAACUAUGCCGACUAGGGAUCGGAUGAUGCUUAUUUUUUAAUGACUCU
RNAcentral lists this small RNA (508 nucleotides) under uncultured Glomus. Its description in RNAcentral is "SSU rRNA". It matches the Rfam family "Eukaryotic small subunit ribosomal RNA", at positions 569 to 1078 of the family's 1831-position model. The record is from RNAcentral. Lineage: Eukaryota; Fungi; Glomeromycota; Glomeromycetes; Glomerales; Glomeraceae.